UGCUGGGGUUCUCCGUCUGCUCGGGCGCGCGGGUCACGUCGGUCGCCCAGGGAGCUUCACCAGGGCACGGUGUUGCAGGGUCGGACAUCAAUCGCGACGUCCCUAGCUCCCCGCCGGUGUCGGGGAUUGAACAUGUGCCGCUGCGAGCGAAUCAGUUGGCCGCUGUCAGGAAUCUUCAACCGCUUCAACGAUUUGGUGGUGCUCGGUGGUCGGGAAGCUUCUCUGGCUCACCCCUCACAUGUGUGUGGCCUUAUUGGACAAAGAUAGCCUUCCGAGCUCGACCAAUUGCUCAUCGGUGCAAUGGCUCCACCGCGGGCGGGACCACUGCUGCAGACCCAUUUCACUCCCUUGCCAUCACCGGUAAUAUGCAUGUCCUUGUGUUCGUCAUGUCCCUUAUUA
RNAcentral lists this unclassified non-coding RNA (399 nucleotides) under Zea mays. Its description in RNAcentral is "misc RNA Zm00001eb234670". Lineage: Eukaryota; Viridiplantae; Streptophyta; Magnoliopsida; Poales; Poaceae. The record is from RNAcentral.